RNAcentral lists this ribosomal RNA (466 nucleotides) under uncultured bacterium. Its description in RNAcentral is "partial 16S ribosomal RNA". It matches the Rfam family "Bacterial small subunit ribosomal RNA", at positions 28 to 523 of the family's 1533-position model. The record is from RNAcentral.
GAUGAACGCUGGCGGCGUGCCUAACACAUGCAAGUCGAGCGAUCUCUUCGGAGAGAGCGGCGGACGGGUGAGUAACGCGUGGGUAACCUGCCCUGUACACACGGAUAACAUACCGAAAGGUAUACUAAUACGGGAUAACAUAUGAAAGUCGCAUGGCUUUUAUAUCAAAGCUCCGGCGGUACAGGAUGGACCCGCGUCUGAUUAGCUAGUUGGUAAGGUAAUGGCUUACCAAGGCAACGAUCAGUAGCCGACCUGAGAGGGUGAUCGGCCACACUGGAACUGGGACACGGUCCAGACUCCGACGGGAGGCAGCAGUGGGGAAUAUUGCACAAUGGGCGAAAGCCUGAUGCAGCACCGCCGCGUGAGCGAUGAAGGCCUUCGGGUCGUAAAGCUCUGUCCUAAAGGAAGAUAAUGACGGUACUUGAGGAGGAAGCCCCGGCUAACUACGUGCCAGCCGCCGCUGUAA